CCCUUAGAUGUUCUGGGCCGCACGCGCGCUACACUGAUGCAUUCAACGAGUUUCUUCCUGGUCCGAGAGGAAUGGGUAACCUUUUGAAAGUGCAUCGUGAUAGGGAUAGACUAUUGCAAUUAUUGGUCUUCAACGAGGAAUUCCUAGUAGACGUAGUUCAUCAGACUGCAUCGAUUACGUCCCUGCCCUUUGUACACACCGCCCGUCGCUCCUACCGAUUGAAUGCUCAGGUGAGCCAUUCGGACUUUCAUCAUGCUGGUUUCCAGUUUUGAUGAAGGAAAGUCUUGCGAACCUUAUCAUUUAGAGGAAGGAGCAGUCGUAACA
This 324-nucleotide ribosomal RNA is filed under the name uncultured eukaryote. RNAcentral describes it as "partial 18S ribosomal RNA". It matches the Rfam family "Eukaryotic small subunit ribosomal RNA", at positions 1470 to 1796 of the family's 1831-position model. The record is from RNAcentral.